Molecule: ribosomal RNA, 254 nt
Filed under: uncultured bacterium
Lineage: Bacteria
Description: partial 16S ribosomal RNA
Rfam family: Bacterial small subunit ribosomal RNA
Source: RNAcentral
GACGUAGGGUCCAAGCGUUGUUCGGAUUUACUGGGCGUAAAGAGCGCGUAGGCGGCUUGUUAAGUGUGAAGUGAAAUCUCCAGGGCUCAACCCGGAAACUGCUUUACAUACUGGCAAGCUGGAGUGAUGCAGAGGUUUGUGGAAUUCCUGGUGUAACGGUGAAAUGUGUUGAUAUCAGGAGGAACACCCAUGGCGAAGGCAGCAAACUGGGCAUCAACUGACGCUGAGGCGCGAAAGCGUGGGUAGCAAACAGG